Long non-coding RNA from Lates calcarifer (barramundi perch), 868 nucleotides. RefSeq lists it as uncharacterized. The transcript has 3 exons. The record is from RefSeq and is a predicted model, not a curated record. NCBI's taxonomy places the organism in Eukaryota, Metazoa, Chordata, Actinopteri, Centropomidae.
GAGGGGGCAGCUAAAAAGGGACUAUACAGAGUAGAGUAACAGUCCACUGUUUAUUCAGGGAGAGACAGAAGACAUAUGACUAGACUGAGACUGGGGCACUGUGGGCUGGCAUGGGACUUGGCAAGGAUGGGCAAGCAUGAAGAUGACAUAUGUGGAGCGUGCAACAUGCAACAAACUGUGAAACACCUACUCAUGAAAUGCAAAUGUUACAUGGAAGAAAAACAAAGGCUAUAUGUUGCAGUAUCGCGCCUGGUCAUAAAGAUACAUUUGUAGAAAUAGUCACUGCUACAAUCUGAUCUCAACCUGUGAGAGGCAGCAACGUGCCGCGAGGCAUCUAGUCUACCGAAAACUGAAGGAGAGGGAAAGGGGACUGGAUGACAUGAGGUGAUCGUCCACCACGGGGAAAAUGCCAAGAUUCAUGUGGUUAGUUUGCGUCGUUUACGGUUGCUAAAAUCGGUCAAACUGAGAAGCCAGGAGUAUUUUUUAUCAAGUCCUGGCCAAAGUCGUUGUUUUUAAGUGGGGAAAUGCAAGAAAUUGAGCGAAAAACGCCGAGGAAAAUGACUGGCGGCCGAACACCUGUGGCUGGGAGGAGCGAAGUCAGUGUGUACAGUGACCACCUCAUUGAAGACUGAACUCCCACAGUUAACCUUGGUGAUGCCCAUGCCUGAGAGGUGAGAGUCAAGUCCACGGACAACAAAGACUCACAGAUGGUGCAGAGGUCUUGCUGGAAUUGACAAGUGCCCACACUGCAAAGCAAGAUGAGGUUGAUCUGUGCCUGUGUGCUGGAGACAAGGGAUUCUGCCUUAUCAACAAUGGAGAUGAUGUUAUACAGGAGCUGCUACUUCCAAGUCCAGGUACAGCUUCACAU